GAGGUUGUGGCUCAGUGGUAGAGUGCUCACCUAGCAUAUGUGAGACAUUGGGUUCAAUUAUCAGCACCA
RNAcentral lists this transfer RNA (69 nucleotides) under Marmota monax (woodchuck). RNAcentral's name for it is "tRNA.Ala". The record is from RNAcentral. Lineage: Eukaryota; Metazoa; Chordata; Mammalia; Rodentia; Sciuridae.